UGAAAAGCCAACGGACAUUUACUCCUGAGCUCACGCGACGCAAGCAGUAUGGUCAGCAUGGCCUACCAAAGCAAGGUUGCUCAAACAACUGUGGGGUGUUUGUUUUGAUGUUUUUACACUACAUACACAAUUCAUACAUCAAACUCCUGCAGAGCUGGAUGCUGUGACAUGCUGUGUCUUCUACAUCCUGAAAUAUAUUCCUGGAGGGGAGUUAUUAUUAUUAGUUAUAAUAACUAACAUAACUUACAUUAUGCCCUGUACAUUGCUAUGGAAGCACAGUGUGAUUUCACUGAGGUAUGUAUAAAUUAUGAAAUUCUCAUCACUAGUGGAUAUGUUUUUUUGGAUACUCAUCCG
Oncorhynchus tshawytscha (Chinook salmon) is the source of this 354-nucleotide long non-coding RNA. Lineage: Eukaryota; Metazoa; Chordata; Actinopteri; Salmoniformes; Salmonidae. The record is from Ensembl.